This is a long non-coding RNA of Nematostella vectensis (starlet sea anemone), 434 nucleotides long. RefSeq lists it as uncharacterized. The record is from RefSeq and is a predicted model, not a curated record. The transcript is spliced from 2 exons. Lineage: Eukaryota; Metazoa; Cnidaria; Anthozoa; Actiniaria; Edwardsiidae.
AGUCGCGUGACGUUGCGAGAUAAUUGGCUUCAAAAUUACAAGAGCAAAUUACAAGUGCUAUAGAGAGUAUUCAUCUCCAUCGGCUGCUGAUUUUGAGGAGGAUACUGAACACCUUCGGUUUAAUUUGUAAGUGAAAGUAUAAAACUUUAUAGAUGGUCACUUCGGGAUGAAUUGUCUUCCAGUUUUGGUUAAACAACGAUAACAACGUUGUGGCUGACUAGAGCUCUUUUAAUCUAUUUUCGGAUGACAAAAGCUACAACAACAAAAAACGGCAUUGAUUGGGACAUGGGCUGUAUCAGUGGCUGUGUAUAAACAAGAGAAAGGAUGAGUAAGUUGGACUUACGAUCGGUGGUAUUGCACGUGAAAAGAGAUAAAAGUUGUUAUGUUCGAUUGGAAGUAAAUCGGUUUCAAUUUCAAAAACCCUGAAAAAACGU